Molecule: long non-coding RNA, 1272 nt
Organism: Oreochromis niloticus (Nile tilapia)
Lineage: Eukaryota; Metazoa; Chordata; Actinopteri; Cichliformes; Cichlidae
Exons: 3
Source: RefSeq, a predicted model, not a curated record
UGACGGCGCAAGACGCUGGCUUCAUUCGGCUGAUGAAGCGAGGAGAUACUUGGACGACCUGCCCGCUACAGCCGAAUCACCCUGAGAGCCUGCUUAUCUGGUCUUGACUGUUGUCUGCGGGACAGCCCUGUGGAGGUGACUUCAGAGGCCCUGGACAUAACUGUGAUUCUCCUGAAUGAGCUGUUGUAACCAGGCACCAACUUCUUCAGCAGCUGCAAGGCUCAGCAGAACUUCAGGAAAAGGGAAAUGUUAUAUGGGGCCCACAGUAUGAAAAAUACAACCACUAUACAGAUGAUCAGCUUGACAAUCUUCUUUGAGGUCCUCAUGUUUACCAGCCUGGGGAUGAUCCUGGAGUAGCACCACCAAGGGAAUCACGAGACCCAGCACAUUUCUGUUGAACAAAUCAUAACGCUCCCAGACUUUGCUCUCCUCGGGAUAGUCACAUCCAAACUCCUGAGACUCUUGUGUUUGCUGUAUGAACAUAAAAUCUGGCAGAGAGACAAACAAGCUCAGCAUCCAAAUGAGCAUGGUCAGAAUAAUAGCUGCCCUCUUAAUGCAAAAACGUGCAACCCUGUGAACGUGCACAAUGAUCAUGUAGCAACAACAGGUUCCUGCAAUGUGUAAAUACAAUACAGUCCCCACGAUAUACACACAACACAUCCUGGGAUUUAUAGGUAGGUGGACACAUCUACCUAUAAAUCCCAGGAUGAAAACCAAACUGUAGAGAGUGGAGAGAAACUGUUUGUUAGUCCUUUACAUCGGUGGAGUUGGUAGGAGAAAAGUCUUCUCCUAUCCCAUUAUCAUAAGCGCUGUAAUCUUCCUCUAUGGCAUUAUAGAAAGAGAGAAAGAGCUUUUCAAUAUUAUCAUUAUCAUUAUUAUUAUUAUUAUUAGUAUUAGUAGUAGUAGUAGUAGUAGUAUUGCUAAUAUUUUUUUUAUUUAUUUUGAAGUAGCCUGUUUAAAACCAACUCUUGUUGAUAUAUUGCUGUUUUUAAAGGUCAUUAAUUUUACUAUGAGCAUAAAUAAUCGGCAUUGGUGUUUUGGCCCUGAGUCAGUUCAUGUUCCAGGUUAUUUUGCAACCUUUGGGUGGUCACAAGUAGGCUACUCACUCCUCAGGUAAGUUUUUUCACUCAUUUACUCCAUACGCUGUCACUAUUUUAUGUAGGAUUUAAACCUCCUUAAUGUUGUCUAUUCUGAAGAAAGGUCAUAUCAGGGUAAAAUUUGCCCACAUGUAUAAUCAUCAACUUCUUUAUUUCAGCUGGUGCAAUAAAAGUU